RNAcentral lists this transfer RNA (69 nucleotides) under Curculionidae sp. 1 AH-2016. Its description in RNAcentral is "tRNA-Gln". Lineage: Eukaryota; Metazoa; Arthropoda; Insecta; Coleoptera; Curculionidae. The record is from RNAcentral.
UAUAUCUUAGUAUAAAAUGUAUAUAAAUUUUUGAUAUUUAAGGAAAUAGGAGUGUUCUAUUAGAUAUAG